This 498-nucleotide ribosomal RNA is filed under the name uncultured bacterium. RNAcentral's name for it is "partial 16S ribosomal RNA". It matches the Rfam family "Bacterial small subunit ribosomal RNA", at positions 29 to 523 of the family's 1533-position model. The record is from RNAcentral.
AUUGAACGCUGGCGGCAUGCUUUACACAUGCAAGUCGAACGGUAACAGGCCGCAAGGUGCUGACGAGUGGCGAACGGGUGAGUAAUGCAUCGGAACGUGCCCAGUCGUGGGGGAUAACGCAGCGAAAGCUGUGCUAAUACCGCAUACGAUCUAUGGAUGAAAGCGGGGGACCGUAAGGCCUCGCGCGAUUGGAGCGGCCGAUGUCAGAUUAGGUAGUUGGUGGGGUAAAGGCUCACCAAGCCAACGAUCUGUAGCUGGUCUGAGAGGACGACCAGCCACACUGGGACUGGGACACGGCCCAGACUCCUACGGGAGGCAGCAGUGGGGAAUUUUGGACAAUGGGCGCAAGCCUGAUCCAGCAAUGCCGCGUGCAGGAAGAAGGCCUUCGGGGUGUAAACUGCUUUUGUACGGAACGAAAAGGUUUGGGUUAAUACCCUGGGCCGAUGACGGUACCGUAAGAAUAAGCACCGGCUAACUACGUGCCAGCAGCCGCAGUAA